GGAUCAUUACCAAGUACAACCCGUCUCCGGACGGGCUGCUACCAACCCUUUGUUGUCCGACCGCGUUGCCUCCGGGGCGACCCUGACCUUCGGGUUUUUGGGGGACCCCGGGUGGACACCUAAACUCUGCGUAACUUUGUAGUCUGAGUAAUAGAUUAAAUCAAUCAAAACUUUCAACAACGGAUCUCUUGGUUCUGGCAUCGAUGAAGAACGCAGCGAAAUGCGAUAAGUAAUGUGAAUUGCAGAAUUCAGUGAAUCAUCGAAUCUUUGAACGCACAUUGCGCCCCGUGGUAUUCCGCGGGGCAUGCCUGUUCGAGCGUCAUUUCACCACUCAAGCCUCGCUUGGUAUUGGGCGACGCGGUCCGCCGCGCGCCUCAAAUCGACCGGCUGGGUCGAUCGCACCCUCAGCGUUGUGGAAACUAUUCGCUAAAGGAGUUGUGGUCGGUCACGCCGUGAAACAAACCAAUCUUUCAACGGUUGACCUCGGAUCAGGUAGGGAUACCCGCUGA
This 509-nucleotide ribosomal RNA is filed under the name fungal sp. IP61_(10E(S)). RNAcentral describes it as "eukaryotic LSU rRNA". The stretch from base 169 to 322 matches the Rfam family "5.8S ribosomal RNA". Lineage: Eukaryota; Fungi. RNAcentral also lists the same sequence under 1 other name. The record is from RNAcentral.